UACGGAGGAUGCGAGCGUUAUCCGGGUUUAUUGGGUUUAAAGGGUGCGUAGGCCGGCGGUCAAGUCAGCGGUAAAAUCGAGGGGCUCAACCCCUUCCCGCCGUUGAAACUGGCCGUCUUGAGUGGGCGAGAAGUAUGCGGAAUGCGUGGUGUAGCGGUGGAAUGCAUAGAUAUCACGCAGAACCCCGAUUGCGAAGGCAGCAUACCGGCGCCCUACUGACGCUGAAGCACGAAAGCGUGGGGAUCGAACAGG
This 252-nucleotide ribosomal RNA is filed under the name uncultured bacterium. RNAcentral's name for it is "partial 16S ribosomal RNA". It matches the Rfam family "Bacterial small subunit ribosomal RNA", at positions 524 to 776 of the family's 1533-position model. The record is from RNAcentral.